CCUACGGGUGGCAGCAGUGGGGAAUAUUGCACAAUGGGGGAAACCCUGAUGCAGCGACGCCGCGUGAGUGAAGAAGCGUUUCGGCGCGUAAAGCUCUGUCAGCGGGGAAGAAACACGGUUCGCGAGAGCCGCGGACGGUACCCGACCAAGAAGCCCCGGCUAACUACGUGCCAGCAGCCGCGGUAAUACGGAGGAUGCGAGCGUUAUCCGGAUUUAUUGGGUUUAAAGGGUGCGCAGGCGGUCUGUUAAGUCAGCGGUCAAAGCCCGGGGCUCAACCCCGGCCCGCCGUUGAAACUGGCAGUCUCGAGUUGGAGAGAAGUAUGUGGAAUGCGCGGUGUAGCGGUGAAAUGCAUAGAUAUCGCGCAGAACUCCGAUUGCGAAGGCAGCAUGCCGGCUCCACACUGACGCUGAGGCACGAAAGCGUGGGUAUCGAACAGGAUUAGAUACCCGAGUAGUC
This 457-nucleotide ribosomal RNA is filed under the name uncultured bacterium. RNAcentral describes it as "partial 16S ribosomal RNA". It matches the Rfam family "Bacterial small subunit ribosomal RNA", at positions 338 to 795 of the family's 1533-position model. The record is from RNAcentral.